Molecule: transfer RNA, 74 nt
Filed under: Gordonia phage Keelan
Lineage: Duplodnaviria; Heunggongvirae; Uroviricota; Caudoviricetes
Description: tRNA-Thr
Rfam family: tRNA
About the family: Transfer RNA (tRNA) molecules are approximately 80 nucleotides in length.
Source: RNAcentral
GGCACUGUAGCUCAACGGUUUAGAGCAACUGUUUUGUAAUCAGUCGACGAGGGUUCGAUUCCUUCCAGUGCCUC